RNAcentral lists this transfer RNA (72 nucleotides) under Halorubrum coriense DSM 10284. RNAcentral describes it as "tRNA-Phe". It matches the Rfam family "tRNA". From Rfam's summary of the family: Transfer RNA (tRNA) molecules are approximately 80 nucleotides in length. Their secondary structure includes four short double-helical elements and three loops (D, anti-codon, and T loops). The record is from RNAcentral. RNAcentral also lists the same sequence under 1 other name. Lineage: Archaea; Methanobacteriati; Methanobacteriota; Halobacteria; Halobacteriales; Haloferacaceae.
GGAUCGAUAGCUCAGUGGGAGAGCACGACGCUGAAGACGUCGCGUGCCUCGGUUCGAUUCCGAGUCGAUCCA